AUGACACUUACCUAGAGAGUUUGUUUUUCCGUGGUAUACACAUGCACAGGCUUAUCUCAGGGAAUUCAGAUUUAGCAGAUCUGGGAGAGGUGGGGGAGGUCCAGGCAAG
Sapajus apella (tufted capuchin) is the source of this 109-nucleotide long non-coding RNA. RefSeq lists it as uncharacterized. The transcript is spliced from 3 exons. The record is from RefSeq and is a predicted model, not a curated record. Lineage: Eukaryota; Metazoa; Chordata; Mammalia; Primates; Cebidae.